This 138-nucleotide unclassified non-coding RNA is filed under the name uncultured Ascomycota. Its description in RNAcentral is "sequence contains ITS1". The record is from RNAcentral. Lineage: Eukaryota; Fungi; Ascomycota.
CCGAGUUUUUACUCUCAAACCCUGCGAACCUACCGUCAUGUGCUUCGGCGGGCCUCCCCGGGGGGGCUCAGUACGGCUCGCCGAAAGCACCAAAAUUCACUUUUCAGAGUCUUCUGAGUGGAUUACAAAAACAAGUCA